RNAcentral lists this ribosomal RNA (1448 nucleotides) under uncultured organism. RNAcentral's name for it is "SSU rRNA". It matches the Rfam family "Bacterial small subunit ribosomal RNA". The record is from RNAcentral.
GAACGCUAGCUACAGGCUUAACACAUGCAAGUCGAGGGGCAGCAUGGUCUUAGCUUGCUAAGGCCGAUGGCGACCGGCGCACGGGUGAGUAACACGUAUCCAACCUGCCGUCUACUCUUGGACAGCCUUCUGAAAGGAAGAUUAAUACAAGAUGGCAUCAUGAGUCCGCAUGUUCACAUGAUUAAAGGUAUUCCGGUAGACGAUGGGGAUGCGUUCCAUUAGAUAGUAGGCGGGGUAACGGCCCACCUAGUCUUCGAUGGAUAGGGGUUCUGAGAGGAAGGUCCCCCACAUUGGAACUGAGACACGGUCCAAACUCCUACGGGAGGCAGCAGUGAGGAAUAUUGGUCAAUGGGCGAGAGCCUGAACCAGCCAAGUAGCGUGAAGGAUGACUGCCCUAUGGGUUGUAGACUUCUUUUAUAAAGGAAUAAAGUCGGGUAUGGAUACCCGUUUGCAUGUACUUUAUGAAUAAGGAUCGGCUAACUCCGUGCCAGCAGCCGCGGUAAUACGGAGGAUCCGAGCGUUAUCCGGAUUUAUUGGGUUUAAAGGGAGCGUAGAUGGAUGUUUAAGUCAGUUGUGAAAGUUUGCGGCUCAACCGUAAAAUUGCAGUUGAUACUGGAUAUCUUGAGUGCAGUUGAGGCAGGCGGAAUUCGUGGUGUAGCGGUGAAAUGCUUAGAUAUCACGAAGAACUCCGAUUGCGAAGGCAGCCUGCUAAGCUGCAACUGACAUUGAGGCUCGAAAGUGUGGGUAUCAAACAGGAUUAGAUACCCUGGUAGUCCACACGGUAAACGAUGAAUACUCGCUGUUUGCGAUAUACUGCAAGCGGCCAAGCGAAAGCGUUAAGUAUUCCACCUGGGGAGUACGCCGGCAACGGUGAAACUCAAAGGAAUUGACGGGGGCCCGCACAAGCGGAGGAACAUGUGGUUUAAUUCGAUGAUACGCGAGGAACCUUACCCGGGCUUAAAUUGCAGAUGAAUUACGGUGAAAGCCGUAAGCCGCAAGGCAUCUGUGAAGGUGCUGCAUGGUUGUCGUCAGCUCGUGCCGUGAGGUGUCGGCUUAAGUGCCAUAACGAGCGCAACCCUUGUUGUCAGUUACUAACAGGUUCCGCUGAGGACUCUGACAAGACUGCCAUCGUAAGAUGUGAGGAAGGUGGGGAUGACGUCAAAUCAGCACGGCCCUUACGUCCGGGGCUACACACGUGUUACAAUGGGGGGUACAGAGGGCCGCUACCACGCGAGUGGAUGCCAAUCCCCAAAACCUCUCUCAGUUCGGACUGGAGUCUGCAACCCGACUCCACGAAGCUGGAUUCGCUAGUAAUCGCGCAUCAGCCACGGCGCGGUGAAUACGUUCCCGGGCCUUGUACACACCGCCCGUCAAGCCACGGGAGCCGGGGGUACCUGAAGUGCGUAACCGCGAGGAGCGCCCUAGGGUAAAACUGGUGACUGGGGCUA